Solanum dulcamara is the source of this 838-nucleotide long non-coding RNA. RefSeq lists it as uncharacterized. The transcript has 2 exons. The record is from RefSeq and is a predicted model, not a curated record. NCBI's taxonomy places the organism in Eukaryota, Viridiplantae, Streptophyta, Magnoliopsida, Solanales, Solanaceae.
GCAUAACAGAUAAAAAGUUUUGGCUUCUUCUUCAUUUCAAAAGGUUUUGACCUCCCUGCUUCAAAGUCACGAGCUUGUGUUCCUAUUUCAAGUGAUCUUCCUACAACAAAUCACUUUGAAAUCUGUAGACUAGACUAAUGUUCUUGGUAUAAACUCUUUGGGAAAAAUAGCCAAGGGUAAUGUAUUUUCUCCUUUAGAAUUUUGCUUUCUUUCUAGCCAUUUUUGGCUUAAGUUUCUGCUCCAUCUCUGCCUUUGUUUUUCAUCCAUUAAACUAGCUUCCGACGUUUCAAAUUAAUAAAAUCAUUUUGAUUCAAUGCCAAAAGAUCCUGCCUAAAGUUUCAAAUAGAAAAAUCUUAGUUUGUCACUAUAAAUAUCAGCCCUUGCACUCAAUUUUGGGAGAGAACUUUAUGGCCAUCCAUACUCUUGUAAAUACUAAUAUUUUGGUCUAUAAGAUCUCAUCUUUACACUCUCAUUCAAUCUCUGCCGAGAUUCUAGUUCCGAGCAUGUUCGAACUCAUCUUUGCUCGAGUGUAUACUUGUGAUCGAAGCGCCUCGUUCACUGCUUCGCUACAGGGACAGACUCUCCAUCCUAUUCGUGUGGCUAGUUGGUGAUUGUCGAAUAUUGUGUGGUGAGUCCUCAUGCUUCAAGGGUAAGCCGAGUCUAUCUUUCCUUUUCUUGGUACAUUGAGACUAUUCCACAUUAUGCCAUUACUUUCUUUGAGGGUGAGCUAGGAACAUGUCCUAGUCCCCACCUAUGUUAGCUCAUGUAGAGGUAUGUUGUAUAUGCGUAUGGAGUCUAUGUUGUCUUACUUCAUUCUAGUUAUGCUUUGUUUCUUGGA